Molecule: ribosomal RNA, 509 nt
Filed under: Rhabdophloeus sp. BYU CO751
Lineage: Eukaryota; Metazoa; Arthropoda; Insecta; Coleoptera; Laemophloeidae
Description: partial 16S ribosomal RNA
Rfam family: Bacterial large subunit ribosomal RNA (bases 382-509)
Source: RNAcentral
GGCUUAUUGAGUAUAAUUUUAAGUCUAGCCUGCCCACUGAAAUAUUAAAGGGCCGCGGUAUUUUGACCGUGCAAAGGUAGCAUAAUCAUUAGUUUUUUAAUUGAAAGCUGGAAAGAAUGGUUGAAUGAGAAAAAAGCUGUCUCUUAUAUAAAAAUUGAAUUUUAUUUUUAAGUUAAAAAGCUUAAAUUUUUUUAAAAGACGAGAAGACCCUAUAGAGUUUUAUUAAUAUUAGAUAAAAUUAUUUUAGUUUUGAAAAAAUUUUUUUAUAAUAUUAAUUUGAUUGGGGUGAUUAAAAAAUUAAAUAAACUUUUUUUUAAAAAAAACAAUAAUAAUUGAUUUUUUGAUCCAAAAUUUUUGAUUAUAAGAUUAAAUUACCUUAGGGAUAACAGCGUAAUUUUUUUUGAGAGUUCUUAUUGAAAAAAAAGAUUGCGACCUCGAUGUUGGAUUAAAAUAUAUAUUUGGUGCARAAGCUAAAUCAAUUAAGUCUGUUCGACUUUUAAAAUUUUACA